CCUUUGGUAGCUCAGUGGUAGAGCGCGGGGUAUAUAUUCAUCAUCUAGUGGGUUUUCGCCGCCGAGGACGUUGGUUCGACUCCGGCAUGAAGGC
Molecule: non-coding RNA, 94 nt
Organism: Peniophora sp. CONT
Lineage: Eukaryota; Fungi; Basidiomycota; Agaricomycetes; Russulales; Peniophoraceae
Source: Rfam